UACGUUCCCGGGCCUUGUACACACCGCCCGUCAAGCCAUAGGAAGCUGGGGGUGCCUGAAGUCGGUGACCGCAAGGAGCUGCCUAGGGUAAAACUAGUAACUAGGGCU
Molecule: ribosomal RNA, 108 nt
Filed under: uncultured bacterium
Lineage: Bacteria
Description: partial 16S ribosomal RNA
Rfam family: Bacterial small subunit ribosomal RNA
Source: RNAcentral